UACGUAGGGGGCAAGCGUUGUCCGGAAUUAUUGGGCGUAAAGAGCGCGUAGGCGGUCCGAUAAGUCGGCUGUGAAAGUCAGGGGCUCAACCCUUGAAAGCCGGCCGAUACUGUCGGACUAGAGUCCGGAAGAGGCAAGUGGAAUUCCCGGUGUAGCGGUGAAAUGCGCAGAUAUCGGGAGGAACACCAAUGGCGAAAGCGGCUUCCUGGUCCAGCACCGACGUUCAGGCACGAAAGCGUGGGGAGCAAACAGG
RNAcentral lists this ribosomal RNA (253 nucleotides) under uncultured bacterium. RNAcentral's name for it is "partial 16S ribosomal RNA". It matches the Rfam family "Bacterial small subunit ribosomal RNA", at positions 524 to 776 of the family's 1533-position model. The record is from RNAcentral.